This 2213-nucleotide long non-coding RNA is filed under the name Homo sapiens (human). Its description in RNAcentral is "HSALNT0190196". The record is from RNAcentral. Lineage: Eukaryota; Metazoa; Chordata; Mammalia; Primates; Hominidae.
GGGCGGGUAGAGGCCGACGCGCGCCCAUUGGCCGACUCGGCUGCGGGCGUCCCCGUGGCCACGUGACAAUAACACCGCUCCAGCCGGGGGCCUACGCGCGGGAGAAAGUGGAGCUGAGAUUGUAGGAAAUUCAGAGUUAUAUUUUCCAGCCUCUCCAGCCAGAAGUCUCCACUACGUCGUGGGAAACAUAUAUCAAAUGGAGUUGAAAGGCAAAAGGAAGUGAUCAGCGCCACAAGAUGUUGAAACUAAUGGAGACCGCAGAGAUCAUGUGCUAAGGGGCCUUCCUCCUCUGGGGUGGGAGAAGGAAUGUUCUCUGGAGAAAUCUGUAUGAUAGAAUAGUGAAGGUAACUGGCCUGAACUACAGCUCUUGAGCCAUCUGGUUUCACCUUCAGGGAGUGAGAAAGGAGUUUGGAGACAGAAAGACGGAAGAGUUGAUAUUCCGCUCACAGAUGUCAAUUUUCAAAGAAAUUUCUGCCCAUUAUGGAUGCACCACAAAUACUAAAGUCUAUGCAAUAUAUAUUUUGAAAAGAAUUUUUUUCGUGAAACUGUAAUUUUCGUUCAUAAGAGUAUAUUUCCUGACUUAGCAUUUUAUUGACUAGAUUAAAAUUUUGUUCCCCAAAGUAAGUGUGUGUGUGUGUGUGUGUGUGUGUGUGCACGCACACGUGUGUGUGCAUUCCUGAGGAUUAUUCUAAGGCUGAACUCCUUCAUAGAAAUGGAAUUUUUCUCUCUAUGCUCACAUUUUAAAACAGCUCACACAAGCCAGGCAGAAACUGCCAACCCCUUGGUUUCUAAUUCUUUGUGCUAGUUCUAUUAGAAGGGGCAAGUGUAAUCUGACAAUGGGAAACAAUACACCCUUUCUCAUAUUCUUUAUCAACAUACAUAAACUGGAAGAAAGAAAAAGAAAGAGAGGGGUACAGAGGGAGGAAAGGAGGAAGAAAAAAGAUAGGAGGGGAAGUAGGAAGAGAGGAGAAGGGGACUGUAGUGGGGGAAAGAGAGGAGAGACAGAAUCUUUCCACUAAAGUUAGCAUCUGAGAGAGAGGCCCACGGAAUUGAUUUUUUUUUUUUUAUCCCUUUGGCAAACCAGCAUUUGGUCUUUGCUUUGGUUAUCCUGAGAUAGUGCUUUGUUUACCUGAGCUAGCUGGCCAUCUCAGCUGUGACAAUUUAAAAUUAGGCCACUAUUUAUAAUUCAAGCUAUGUGUAAACAAAACAAAACACAAUACAACCAAUGAAGGAGGUUUGUUUGUUUGUUUUUUUAAAAGGUAGGGGCAUUUUGUAAAUCAGACAGAGAUAGCUUUCUUGAAUAAAAUGACAUUUUUAGUUAUUUCUUUGUCUUGAACUUUCUCCUGAGACACCUUCUGGCUCACUAGUCACGAGGAACUGAAGAGGAACUGAAGGAAUUCUAAACAUCCCCAAAGCCUCUAGUGAUUCUCCAGAUGUGUCUUUUCAAGAGGCUGGCGACUUGUAGGGAGGGUGGAUAUACCUUAAUUAUUCAGUCACUUUUAACGUUUUACCUAAACUAUUUGUCAAAUAAGUAGUUUUUGCAUUGCUUUAACUGUAUACAGCCAUCAUUUGAUUAUACAUUCUAUCAAAGAUUGAUUGCCUGAUUUCAGGUUUAAUUUUAAGAUUUAAAUGACUGACUCCUUAGCUUGCUCAGUUGUAUUCUUUGUCUCUGAUUACUUACUCCAUAGAACACUGCUUACCUUUAAAUAAAAUGUAUUAAACUCCUUUGUUUUCAGAAUCUCUAAUAUUCAUGCCUAUUGGGGAUUCAUACCCUAAUAACUUGGGCUACUAGUCUGUCAUAAAAUAUAAACUCCAGCCAUAUUAAAUAUGGUAGACUUGCCCUAAAAGUCAGAUUUAUACCUUCAAUAUACCAUGGAAUUUGUAAUACAAAUAAAUUCCUUUUUUUAUAUUGGUUUUAAAAUAAGAAAUUGUAGUCUCUUGAGUUCUAGAGUUUCUGUAAGAACAACAGAAGGAAUGCUCAGCUAAUGUUUAGUACCCAUAUGCUUCAUUAAAGUGACCAGAUGUCCUGCAUUUGUCAAGGGAAAAGGGGAAUUGUUUUCUUCUCUCUCAAAUAUCUCCUUCAAAAAGUCUAUCAUGGAUACAUUUUGUGCCUUCACUGCCCUUUUUAAAUAAUUAUUAUUCAUGCCUUACUAUAAGAACAUUACAACUGGUAACAAACUGCUUUUAAACUUGGGGUUUCAGAUUUUCUAAAG